AUAAAGGAACAUGCACCGAGUUGAUUCGAGCUCCGGCUCCGACUCUCCCACCCAAUGUGUACCUACCUCCGUUGCUCUGGCGGGCCGCGGUCCUCCGCACCGGCGCCCUUCGGGGGGCCGGCCAGCGCCCGCCAGAGGACCAUAAAACUCCAGUCAGUGAACCUCGCAGUCUGAAAAACAAGUUAAUAAACUAAAACUCUCAACAAACGGAUCUCUUGGUUCUGGCAUCGAUGAAGAACGCAGCGAAAUGCGAUAAGUAAUGUGAAUCGCAGAAUUCAGUGAAUCAUCGAAUCUUUGAACGCACAUUGCGCCCCUCGGUAUUCCGAGGGGCAUGCCUGUUCGAGCGUCAUUUCAACCCUCAAGCUCUGCUUGGUAUUGGGCCCCGUCCUCCACGGACGCGCCUUGAAGACCUCGGCGGUGGCGUCUUGCCUCAAGCGUAGUAGAAAACACCUCGCUUUGGAGCGCACGGCGUCGCCCGCCGGACGAACCUUUUGAAUUACUUCUCAAAGGUUGACCGCGGGAUCAGGUAGGGAUACCCGCUGAACUGUAAU
Molecule: ribosomal RNA, 551 nt
Filed under: Neofusicoccum parvum
Lineage: Eukaryota; Fungi; Ascomycota; Dothideomycetes; Botryosphaeriales; Botryosphaeriaceae
Description: eukaryotic LSU rRNA
Rfam family: 5.8S ribosomal RNA (bases 195-349)
Source: RNAcentral